GAGCAACGCCGCGUGAGGGAUGAAGGCCUCUGGGCUGUAAACCUCUUUUCUCAAGGAAGAAGAUCUGACGGUACUUGAGGAAUAAGCCACGGCUAAUUCCGUGCCAGCAGCCGCGGUAAUACGGGAGUGGCAAGCGUUAUCCGGAAUUAUUGGGCGUAAAGCGUCCGCAGGCGGCCUCGAAAGUCUGUCGUUAAAGCGUGGAGCUUAACUCCAUUUAAGCGGUGGAAACUACGAGGCUAGAGUGUGGUAGGGGCAGAGGGAAUUCCCGGUGUAGCGGUGAAAUGCGUAGAUAUCGGGAAGAACACCAGUGGCGAAGGCGCUCUGCUGGGCCAUAACUGACGCUCAUGGACGAAAGCCAGGGGAGCGAAAGGGAUUAGAUACCCCUGUAGUCCUGGCCGUAAACGAUGAACACUAGGUGUCGGGGGAAUCGACCCCCUCGGUGUCGUAGCUAACGCGUUAAGUGUUCCGCCUGGGGAGUACGCACGCAAGUGUGAAACUCAAAGGAAUUGACGGGGGCCCGCACAAGCGGUGGAGUAUGUGGUUUAAUUCGAUGCAACGCGAAGAACCUUACCAGGGCUUGACAUCCUGCGAAUCCCUUGGAAACUUGGGAGUGCCUUCGGGAGCGCAGAGACAGGUGGUGCAUGGCUGUCGUCAGCUCGUGUCGUGAGAUGUUGGGUUAAGUCCCGCAACGAGCGCAACCCACGUCUUUAGUUGCCAGCAUUAAGUUGGGCACUCUAGAGGGACCGCCGGUGAUAAACCGGAGGAAGGUGUGGAUGACGUCAAGUCAUCAUGCCCCUUACGUCCUGGGCUACACACGUACUACAAUGCUACGGACAAAGGGCAGCAAACUCGCGAGAGCUAGCAAAUCCCAUAAACCGUGGCUCAGUUCAGAUCGUAGGCUGCAACUCGCCUACGUGAAGGAGGAAUCGCUAGUAAUCGCAGGUCAGCAUACUGCGGUGAAUACGUUCCCGGGCCUUGUACACACCGCCCGUCACACCAUGGAAGUUGGCCACGCCCGAAGUCGUUACUCCAACCCGCAAGGGAGGAGGAUGCCGAAGGUGGGGCUGAUGACUGGGGUGAAGUCGUAACAAGGUAGCCGUACCGGAAGGUG
Molecule: ribosomal RNA, 1111 nt
Filed under: uncultured cyanobacterium
Lineage: Bacteria; Bacillati; Cyanobacteriota
Description: bacterial SSU rRNA
Rfam family: Bacterial small subunit ribosomal RNA
Source: RNAcentral